This is a long non-coding RNA of Nematostella vectensis (starlet sea anemone), 414 nucleotides long. RefSeq lists it as uncharacterized. The record is from RefSeq and is a predicted model, not a curated record. The transcript has 3 exons. NCBI's taxonomy places the organism in Eukaryota, Metazoa, Cnidaria, Anthozoa, Actiniaria, Edwardsiidae.
UGCAUAAAUACAAGUAUAGUGGUGACGUCAGAUGCUAACCACCACUAUAAAUAUUGGGAAAAGAUAUAACCCUUCGCCGCAUCUGAGGACGCUACUAUACACGAAUACACUUCCCACAGGCGAAAACCACAAUGCAUCGCGGUCAUGUGAUAGCUGCGCUGUUGAUCAGCCUUUUUGUAAUAUCCGCGGGCGCCUGGGGCGGAAGACGAUUCGUCAAAAGGCCAACAACAGCCGGACCUGCGUUGGGUAGAUUUCAAUCACGUACGCGAUCAAAGAUUCCCGACGAGGCGUUGAAGGCAGAGGACACCUGGUACCGAUACUACGACAAACACCGGUCUUUACGACAAGAUGACGAACAACAAAGAUGAAAAACAAUAUUUUUAUGACAAAUAUUAAAUAAAAGUUAUUUAUGCA